GCGGUAAUUCCAGCUCUGUAAGCGUAUACCAAAGUUGUUGCAGUUAAAACGCUCGUAGUCGGAAGUUGGCGGGCGACCAGGGGCGUCUUCACGGACGUGUUUUGGUUGGCCGCCUUUGUGGAUGGGGGCCCAGUGGUGCUUCACUGCGCUACUGUGGUCGCUGCCACCGUUUACUGUGAAAAAAUUAGAGUGUUCAAAGCGGGCGUUUGCCAUGAAUACAUUAGCAUGGAAUAAUAGAAUAGGACCUGUUUCCUGUUUUGUUGGUUUGUGAGGAUCGGGUAAUGAUUAAGAGGGACGGUUGGGGGCAUUUGUAUUCCGGCGUCAGAGGUGAAAUUCUUGGAUU
Molecule: ribosomal RNA, 343 nt
Filed under: uncultured rhodophyte
Lineage: Eukaryota; Rhodophyta
Description: SSU rRNA
Rfam family: Eukaryotic small subunit ribosomal RNA
Source: RNAcentral